GGGGAAUAUUGCACAAUGGGGGAAACCCUGAUGCAGCGACGCCGCGUGAGUGAAGAAGUAUUUCGGUAUGUAAAGCUCUAUCAGCAAGGAAGAUAAUGACGGUACUUGACUAAGAAGCCCCGGCUAACUACGUGCCAGCAGCCGCGGUAAUACGUAGGGGGCAAGCGUUAUCCGGAUUUACUGGGUGUAAAGGGAGCGUAGGUGGUAUGGUAAGUCAGAUGUGAAAGCCCGGGGCUCAACCCCGGGACUGCAUUUGAAACUGCCAAACUAGAGUGCAGGAGAGGUAAGUGGAAUUCCUAGUGUAGCGGUGAAAUGCGUAGAUAUUAGGAGGAACACCAGUGGCGAAGGCGGCUUACUGGACUGUAACUGACACUGAGGCUCGAAAGCGUGGGGAGCAAAC
Molecule: ribosomal RNA, 400 nt
Filed under: uncultured bacterium
Lineage: Bacteria
Description: bacterial SSU rRNA
Rfam family: Bacterial small subunit ribosomal RNA
Source: RNAcentral